This 497-nucleotide ribosomal RNA is filed under the name uncultured bacterium. RNAcentral's name for it is "partial 16S ribosomal RNA". It matches the Rfam family "Bacterial small subunit ribosomal RNA", at positions 28 to 507 of the family's 1533-position model. The record is from RNAcentral.
GAUGAACGCUGGCGGCGUGCCUAAUACAUGCAAGUCGAGCGAACGGACGAGAAGCUUGCUUUUCUGAUGUUAGCGGCGGACGGGUGAGUAACACGUGGAUAACCUACCUAUAAGACUGGGAUAACUUCGGGAAACCGGCGCUAAUCCCGGAUAAUAUUUUGAACCGCAUGGUUCAAAAGUGAAAGACGGUCUUGCUGUCACUUAUAGAUGGAUCCGCGCUGCAUUAGCUAGUUGGUAAGGUAACGGCUUACCAAGGCAACGAUGCAUAGCCGACCUGAGAGGGUGAUCGGCCACACUGGAACUGAGACACGGUCCAGACGCCUACGGGAGGCAGCAGUAGGGAAUCUUCCGCAAUGGGCGAAAGCCUGACGGAGCAACGCCGCGUGAGUGAUGAAGGUCUUCGGAUCGUAAAACUCUGUUAUUAGGGAAGAACAUAUGUGUAAGUAACUGUGCACAGCGUGACGGUACCUAAUCAGAAAGCCACGGCUAACUACGUG